CGAUCUCGACAGGGGCGUCUGCGAUUGCAGGCUGAGAAGGACCCUUUGAACCUGAACCAGAUCAUGCUGGCGGAGGGAGUCGCGACGGCGCAUUC
Molecule: non-coding RNA, 95 nt
Filed under: Rhizobium sp.
Lineage: Bacteria; Pseudomonadati; Pseudomonadota; Alphaproteobacteria; Hyphomicrobiales; Rhizobiaceae
Also listed under: 1 other name
Description: TPP sequence
Rfam family: TPP riboswitch aptamer (THI element)
About the family: Vitamin B(1) in its active form thiamin pyrophosphate (TPP) is an essential coenzyme that is synthesised by coupling of pyrimidine and thiazole moieties in bacteria. The previously detected thiamin-regulatory element, thi box was extended, resulting in a new, highly conserved RNA secondary structure, the THI element, which is widely distributed in eubacteria and also occurs in some archaea.
Source: RNAcentral